UCGAUGGUGCACCUUGCGGUUCCCACCUCCGUUCACUUUCAUUACGCGCCCGGGCUUGACACCCAAACACUCGCAUAGAUGUUAGACUCCUUGGUCCGUGUUUCAAGACGGGCCGCUUACAGCCAUUACGCCAGCAUCCUAGCAGAUGCGCGGACCUCAGUCCGGGCUGGUUGCAUUACGCCUCCCCUAUAAGGUCUCCCCGAAGAGAGAUACGUGACAGAGGCCUUUAUCCAACCGCCCAAACUGAUGCUGGCCUGCCCACAGAAGAGUGCCCCAGGCCGAAGCCUAGGUGAGCAACUGCGGGCAAGUCUGGCUGCAAGCGCUUCCCUUUCAACAAUUUCACGUGCUUUUUGACUCUCUUUCCAAAGUACUUUUCAUCUUUCGAUCACUCUACUUGUGCGCUAUCGGUCUCUGGCCGGUAUUUAGCUUUAGAAGAAAUUUACCUCCCAUUUAGAGCUGCAUUCCCAAACAACUCGACUCGUCGAAGGGGCUUUACACGGCAAAGGCAGGCGCCCACGUACGGGAUUCUCACCCUCUGCGAUGUCCUGUUCCAAGGAACUUAGACCGCCGCCUAUGCCAAAGCACCCUCUGCAAAUUACAACUCGGAC
RNAcentral lists this ribosomal RNA (608 nucleotides) under uncultured Ascomycota. RNAcentral's name for it is "partial 28S ribosomal RNA". The record is from RNAcentral. Lineage: Eukaryota; Fungi; Ascomycota.